AUCCUUACAACAAUAGCACAUAUACUAAAAUUAGAAUAACACAGAGGAAAUUAGCAUGGCUCCUGUACAAGAAUAACAUGAAAAUUUGUGAAGCUUUGCAUGUUUUU
RNAcentral lists this small nuclear RNA (107 nucleotides) under Castor canadensis (American beaver). The record is from RNAcentral. Lineage: Eukaryota; Metazoa; Chordata; Mammalia; Rodentia; Castoridae.